RNAcentral lists this long non-coding RNA (843 nucleotides) under Physcomitrium patens. RNAcentral describes it as "long non-coding RNA (PPAT_LNC012364)". Lineage: Eukaryota; Viridiplantae; Streptophyta; Bryopsida; Funariales; Funariaceae. The record is from RNAcentral.
AUAGAAUUUGUAUAAUUUGAAUUUCUUUUUGAUAGUAGCUUUUAAGAUUGGUUUUGGUUGAUAGUAACUUCUAAAUAUUUAGAAUCACCUUUGUUAGACAUUGGUGACCUUUGAAAACUUCUUUUGGUUCUUUUAUUUGGAGUUUAGAGCAUAAAUUAUAUAAAUCUUAUAAGAAAAAGGAUUGAAGAAGGAUUUUGGUAACAAAGGGAGUAAUUAGGGUACCGAUAUAGAUGAAUGGAGAUGAAUAAUGAAAAUCUCCAUUCCUAUUGGUCAAAAAUCAUGACCAAUGGACUUUGAGGAGGCUGCCCGAGGCCAUAUUAGAGAUUAGGGUUAGUUUCUCGAGGCCAUUUGAGUUUUGAAGGCUAAGGUCAGAAGGUUUAGGUUUUUGGCUAUGGUUUUGGUACAAGUUUUGUAUGGUUUAGAGUUUAUAUGAAGGAGAUACAAGUGCUCAAAGUUAAGGUUUUGAUUUGGGAGCUACUGUCACUCUUUUAGGCAUAACGCAUGCAUACGGAUAGCUUUUUAGAAUCGGCGACUGUGACUGGAGAGAGAACUUUUGCGGCUACACUGUUCACAUAUUGCUUACUGGAUUCCAAGUUGAAGUGAAGGAGUUAUUGGAUUUUGAAGUCAGCACAUGCAAUCUAAGGGUAGUAAGUAACCCGAUUUACUAGUGGUUGUCUCUUGAGCUAUAUCUUGAGCAAUUUGACAAGGUUUUGGCUCAAAAUUUCAAGGAAUGUAUAAUUUUAUGUUAAUAAAAUUUGUGCUAAGUUUUAUGACAUUUGAGUAUUGGAUUCUUGAGAUAUUAAGAAAAUAGUGUUUGGGUGCUUGUAAAUUAGGGUUUAGAGC